Molecule: long non-coding RNA, 3359 nt
Filed under: Homo sapiens (human)
Lineage: Eukaryota; Metazoa; Chordata; Mammalia; Primates; Hominidae
Description: non-protein coding lnc-HSD17B14-4:1
Source: RNAcentral
GAGGGAUGGCGGGAGAGGGGACAGCCAGGGGAGGGAUGGCGGGAGAGGGGACAGCCAGGGGAGGCAUGGUGGGAGAGGGGACAGCCAGGGGAGGGAUGGCGGGAGACGGACAGCCGGGGGAGGGAUGGCGGGAGACGGACAGCCGGGGGAGGGAUGGCAGGAGAGGGACAGCCGGGGGAGGGAUGGCGGGAGAGGGACAGCCGGGGAAGUGAUGGUGGGAGAGGGCCAGCCGGGGGAGGGAUGGCAGGAGAGGAGACAGCCCAGGGGGGAUGGCGGGAGAGGGGACAGUUGGAGAUGGCGGGAAGGGGGACAGUCGGUGGGGGAUGGCAGGAGUGGAGACAGCCAAUCCAAACCCCAAACGGGGAGGUUGCAAUCAGCAGAGAUCACGCCACUGCACUCCAGCCUGGGUGACAGAGUGAGACCCUGUCUCAAAACAAAACAAAACAAAACAAAACAAAAAAACACUCUGUGCCAAGCGCUGCCUACCCUGGUGCAUGGGACUGCAGGAGAGGCUGUCUGGUAAACGUGUCAAGGGUAAUCCCUGCCUUCCAGGCUCUUCCACUCUGCAGUGGAGCAGAUGCUGAACAAGCAAACUUGGAACCAUGGGGCAGUGAUCAGGGACAGAGUCUCCAGAAAAAAAAAACUAGGUCCCAGGCUGGAGUGCAGUGGCAUGAUCGUGGCUCACUGCAGUCUCAAACUCCCAGGCUCAAGUGAUCCUCCCACCACCUUCCAAAUACCUGGGACUCCAGUCACGUGCUACCACGUCUGGCUAAUUUUCGUAUUUUUUGGUAGAGAUGGGGUCUUGCUAUAAUGCCUGGGCUGGUCACGAACUCCUACACUCAAGUGAUCCUCCUGCCUCGGCCUCCCAAAGUGCUGGGAUUACAGUGAGCCACUGAGCCCGGUCGUGUCCUUUGCUUUCUAGAGUCUCCGUGUGUCUCUACCUGUUUGUCUCCCUGUCUAUAUCUGUCUCUCUUUUUCUCCAUCUCUCUGACCCAGCUGCUAAAUCUCCCCGGUGCUCUCCUCUUGGCCUCCAUCUUUCAGUUGUCUGUGUCUUUGUGUAUCUGUCUCUGUCUGUCUUGGUGUCUCUCAUGACUGUCUGGAGAAGUCUCUGAGCCUCCCCACCCGCGUGUCCCCGCAGCUGUUUGAGGGCAUGAAGGCGUUCAAAGGCAAAGACCAGCAGGUGCGCCUCUUCCGCCCCUGGCUCAACAUGGACCGGAUGCUGCGCUCAGCCAUGCGCCUGUGCCUGCCGGUGAGGGGUCCCGGUCCACCGGGGUGGGGAGGAGGGCUGGGGCCGGGGCAGCAAGGGCCCCUUGACUCAUUCAGAAUCCCACCCAGAGUUUCGACAAGCUGGAGUUGCUGGAGUGCAUCCGCCGGCUCAUCGAAGUGGACAAGGACUGGGUCCCCGAUGCCGCCGGCACCAGCCUCUAUGUGCGGCCUGUGCUCAUUGGGAACGAGGUGGGCCCAACUCCAGGGCUGGGAAGCUGGGCUGCGGGGGUUGGAUUCUGCAGGGCAGGGGUGGGGUCCUGGAGGCCUGGGCCUGGGGACGGGAAGGGACUGGGGGCCUGGACUCCUGACGCUGUCCCUUUGCCCGUCGCAGCCCUCGCUGGGUGUCAGCCAGCCCACGCGCGCGCUCCUGUUCGUCAUUCUCUGCCCAGUGGGUGCCUACUUCCCUGGAGGCUCCGUGACCCCGGUCUCCCUCCUGGCCGACCCAGCCUUCAUCCGGGCCUGGGUGGGCGGGGUCGGCAACUACAAGUUAGGUGGGUAAGUAGCACCCCCAUCCCCAGAACGACUGGCGCACUGGGCGUUGGAGACACAGGGACCAGCGUGCGUGCUUUCGGCCAUGCCUCUGGAUGUCACAUGAAGGUGACAUCAUCAGCACCGUGCAGGGCUCAGUGCUAAGUGACCUCCCUGGUCCCUGAAAACAAACCAUGGAAGGAAGGAGGAGGGGAUUAUUUUUCAGAUGGACAAAAAGGCUCACAGAUGGGAAGGCAUUGGGUGGAGGUCAGUGGGGAAACCAGGACUGGUCCCUGGAAGCCUCCAGGAGUGAAGCUUACACUCAGCUCAUUGGCUUCUCGCCCCAGAAGCCUCCCCUGAUCCCCCAGGCUGGGCUGCGCUCCCCAUACCCAGCUCCCACAGUCGUUUGAGCCUCCAAAGCCCCUCACCCCCGUGUGGACUUUCUGUGUAAAUCUGUCUCCCAGUGGCCUCAGCUCAGCAGGGCAGGAAGGAGACAGCUGGGUCUCCUGGGCAACCAAGGCAGAGGGUGGGCACUGGCGUGUUGGGACAGGAAUGUGGCCCCAGCUGGGGGUGCAUUCAGGUCCUUUCAGCCACAUCCUGUGAGGUCUCCUGAGGGCCAGGCCCUGUGCUGGCAGAAGCUGGGGACACAGAUGAGUCAGCCCCGAGCCCUGCUCUCCUGGGUCUCCCAGGCUGGUGGGAGCCCCAGUAUUCGGAGCUGCAUGUUCUCUGGUGAGGUGACCCAGGGCAUUGUGAAAGCCUUCACAGAGGCCAGAGGCGGUGGCUCACGCCUGUAAUCCCAGCACUUUGGGAGGCUGAGGCGGGCAGAUCACGAGGUCAGGAGAUCGAGACCAUCCUGAUUAACACAGUGAAACCCCAUCUCUACUAAAAAUACAAAAAAAAAAAAAAAAAAUUAGCCGGGCUUGGUGGCGGGCGCCUGUAGUCGCAGCUACUCAGGAGGCUGAGGCAGGACAAUGGCGAGAACCCAGGAGACAGAGCUUGCAGUGAGCCGAGAUCGCGCCACUGCACUCCAGCCUGGGCGACAGAGCGAAACUCCAUCUCAAAAAAAAAAAAGAAAGGUUUCGCAGAGGAGGCGACCCUUCAACUAGGUCUGACGAGGAGGGAGGAGGGGGUUUCCUGGGUACAAAAGUCAGCAAACUGUUUCCAGUCCUGGGAACCAUGUGUACAGGGACAGAAGGAAUAGGAUCACAGAAGAUGUUCAGGUUACAAAAAUAAGUUUGGGUUUUGAAAAAUGCUUAGCAAGUAUUCAUUAGACCCAGGCAGGCCUGGAAUGCCGGAAGGAGGCUAGGGUCUUGUCCUGGGGCACUGGGGAGCCAUGGGAGGCUUGUUAGCAGCUGAGGGGAGAGGCUAUCUCUGGGAGAGAGACUCAGAAAGUCAUCCAGGUAGCCCAGUUCACUGGGGGAGUCCAGGGAAGGUCCAGCACCCAGCCUGGAGGUCUGGAAACACCUCUCGAGGAGGUGACAACAGAAACGGUUUUGGAGCCAGGCGCGGUAGCUCACGCUUGUAAUCCCAGCACUUUGGGAGGCCGAGGUAGGCGGAUCACUUGAGGUCAGGAGUUUGAGACCAGCCUGGCCAACAUGGUGAAACCCCGUCUCUACUAAAAAUAU